Molecule: ribosomal RNA, 416 nt
Filed under: uncultured bacterium
Lineage: Bacteria
Description: bacterial SSU rRNA
Rfam family: Bacterial small subunit ribosomal RNA
Source: RNAcentral
AACCUGCCCUUAGGAUUGGGAUACUCCCGAGAAAUCGGGCUCAAUACCGAAUAUGAUUCCGGGGUGAAAUGCCCAGGGAUAAAAGCUGCGAGCAAUCGUGGCGCCUGAGGAGGGACCUGCGGCCUAUCAGCUUGUUGGUGAGGUAACGGCUCACCAAGGCAAAGACGGGUAGCCGGACUGAGAGGUCGAUCGGCCACACUGGAACUGAGACACGGUCCAGACUCCUACGGGAGGCAGCAGUGGGGAAUUUUGCGCAAUGGGCGAAAGCCUGACGCAGCGACGCCGCGUGGGGGAAGAAGGCCUUCGGGUUGUAAACUCCUUUAGUACGGGAAGAAGCCGCAAGGUGACGGUACCGUAAGAAUAAGCCACGGCUAACUCUGUGCCAGCAGCCGCGGUAAGACAGAGGUGGCAAGCGU